GACGAACGCUGGCGGCGUGCUUAACACAUGCAAGUCGAACGGUAAGGCCCUUCGGGGUACACGAGUGGCGAACGGGUGAGUAACACGUGGGUGAUCUGCCCUGCACUUCGGGAUAAGCCUGGGAAACUGGGUCUAAUACCGGAUAGGACUCCGGUCUGCAUGGUCGGGGGUGGAAAGCUUUUGCGGGGUGGGAUGGGCCCGCGGCCUAUCAGCUUGUGGGUGGGGUGAUGGCCUACCAAGGCGACGACGGGUAGCCGGCCUGAGAGGGGGACCGGCCACACUGGGACUGAGAUACGGCCCAGACUCCUACGGGAGGCAGCAGUGGGGAAUAUUGCACAAUGGGCGCAAGCCUGAUGCAGCGACGCCGCGUGAGGGAUGACGGCCUUCGGGUUGUAAACCUCUUUCAGCAUCGACGAAGCGAAAGUGACGGUAGGUGCAGAAGAAGGACCGGCCAACUACGUGCCAGCCGCCGCGGUAA
RNAcentral lists this ribosomal RNA (478 nucleotides) under uncultured bacterium. RNAcentral's name for it is "partial 16S ribosomal RNA". It matches the Rfam family "Bacterial small subunit ribosomal RNA", at positions 28 to 523 of the family's 1533-position model. The record is from RNAcentral.